CUAAUCAUUACCAAGCAUUUCCAUACCACUCAAUAACCAUAUCAUAAGACCAUAUAUACAAAAUUAUUAUAAUACUAUACAUGCCAUACUCAAAAUAUACAAGCCAUUAUGCCAAGAUGGUAUACAGAUAGUGUGAGCGAGCCUCCGACCAUUCCCGAUUUCUGAGCUGGCUUGUCAAAACUACAAGGAAUGAAAAGGAGGGAGUAAGCAUAAAUGAUUAAUAAGUUCACAUGCAAAUAGCAAGUAACAUUACCAUAUAAGCAAACAUAAAACAUCAUUUGCAUAAUCAUCACCAAGACAUUCAUAUCACAUUUUCAUUUAUCAUCUUACCAUAUUGUUGUUAUAUCGAUUUUUCAACCCGAGGGUUAAGUACAUACCUGUUCAAAGUACCCAUUUCACAACACUUACCAAUACGUCCCUUUCAUCUUGAGUAUUCCUCCAUUUCAGUAGAACUUUACCCGUUGAACACAUCGGAAUAUAAUUCGGAUACAUGGAAAGUUUGCACAUAAGUGCCACAUAUGUAGCCAAGCUACCAUGUAACCCGCCCAUAAGUGAACUUGGACUCAACUCAAAGAGCUCGGGCGUUCGCAUCCAUAAGUGAACUCGGACUCAACUCAACGAGCUCGGAUGCCUAGUUACAUCUCACGAACUCGGACUCAACUCAACGAGUUCGGACAUUCGCAUCCAUAAGUGAACUCGGACUCAACUCAAAGAGUUUGGAUGCCCAAAUAUCCCAGUGACAUGUCACUUGUAUCCUAAUCCAUUCUUAAGGUUCAACGGGACCUUUUUCCCAAUCAUGUGUCUCAACCAUCUUCUACGGAAUGCCGAUACCGAUACUCUGUAGUAUUUCACAUUUUCCAAGUAUAUCACAUAAUUUGACAUAUUAUCAAACAAUUAUCACAAGUAUAAUAUUUCAUAAUAAUUAUCAUAUCAUUUAAAUAACAUUAAAACAUUUAAAAUAAUAACUAUGUUACCAACAUUAACAUAUGAACUUACCUCGUAUGCGAAAAUGGCUAUUUUUACCAUUUCAUCCACAACUUGGUAUUUUCC
Molecule: long non-coding RNA, 1050 nt
Filed under: Gossypium barbadense (sea-island cotton)
Lineage: Eukaryota; Viridiplantae; Streptophyta; Magnoliopsida; Malvales; Malvaceae
Description: long non-coding RNA (GBAR_LNC002657)
Source: RNAcentral